Acromyrmex echinatior (Panamanian leafcutter ant) is the source of this 183-nucleotide long non-coding RNA. NCBI's taxonomy places the organism in Eukaryota, Metazoa, Arthropoda, Insecta, Hymenoptera, Formicidae. The record is from RefSeq and is a predicted model, not a curated record.
CUAUGAUUUCAAAAAUACAUAAGUUCAUGUGAAAUAACAACACGUCUAUCUGAUGUAUCUUCCCUGUUUUUUCAAUGAAUACCUGCUUAAAUUGUUCUCAAAAAAUCGAAAGAAACGUCAGAGAAUAUUCUUCAACGCAUGACUGAUCAAAAAAUAACUUGGAAAUAAUCGGUAGCAUUAGCA